This 844-nucleotide ribosomal RNA is filed under the name uncultured bacterium. Its description in RNAcentral is "bacterial SSU rRNA". It matches the Rfam family "Bacterial small subunit ribosomal RNA", at positions 8 to 851 of the family's 1533-position model. The record is from RNAcentral.
AGAGUUUGAUCUUGGCUCAGGAUGAACGCUAGCGGCAGGCUUAACACAUGCAAGUCGAGGAGCAGCAUGUCCAGCAAUGGAUGAUGGCGACCGGCGGAAGGGUGCGUAACGCGUGAGCAACAUGCCCUAUACAGGGAGAUACACCAGGGAAACUUGGUCUAAUAUCCCAUAGCAUUCAUUGAAGGCAUCUUUAAUGAAUUAAAGCUUCGGUGGUAUAGGAUUGGCUCGCGUGACAUUAGCCAGAUGGUGAGGUAACGGCUCACCAUAGCAAUGAUGUCUAGGGGUUUUGAGAGGAAGGCCCCCCACACUGGGACUGAGACACGGCCCAGACUCAUACGGGAGGCAGCAGUGAGGAAUAUUGGACAAUGGAUGGAAAUCUGAUCCAGCCAUGCCGCGUGCAGGAAGACGGCCUUAUGGGUUGUAAACUGCUUUUAUACGGGAGCAAUAAGGGUUACGAGUAAUCCGAUGAGAGUACUGUAUGAAUAAGGAUCGGCUAACUCCGUGCCAGCAGCCGCGGUAAUACGGAGGAUCCGAGCGUUAUCCGGAAUUAUUGGGUUUAAAGGGUGCGUAGGCGGCCAUUUAAGUCAGCGGUGAAAUUUUGCAGCUUAACUGUAACAGUGCCGUUGAUACUGUUUGGCUAGGAUUUGGUUGUAGUGUGCGGAAUGUGUGGUGUAGCGGUGAAAUGCUUAGAUAUCACACAGAACACCGAUUGCGAAGGCAGCACACUAAGUCAUUAUUGACGCUGAGGCACGAAAGUGUGGGGAUCAAACAGGAUUAGAUACCCUGGUAGUCCACACUGUAAACGAUGAUAACUCGCUGUCGGCGAUACACAGUCGGGGCCAAG